AAAAAAACAAACACUGAGUUUCCGUAUUCAACGUUUGACCGUCCGUCUUAUUUAAAAAAAUUAUAAAAAAAUAAAAAGACAAGUCACGCAUAAAGUAUUAAUUAUAUUUUAUCAUCUAACAACAAUGGAAAUACUAAUUAUAAAAAAAAAUUAUAUAAGACGGACAGUCAAACAUUGAAUACGGAAACUCAGGAUUUAUUUUAUU
Oryza sativa Japonica Group (Japanese rice) is the source of this 205-nucleotide microRNA precursor. It matches the Rfam family "MIR812 microRNA precursor family". Lineage: Eukaryota; Viridiplantae; Streptophyta; Magnoliopsida; Poales; Poaceae. The record is from Rfam.